GUUAAUACUGUAGUGGCCUGGAUUUGCAGCUUCACGUUCUUGCUGUCUCUUUCCUGGUUUUGGUCAAGAUACACUCAGGGUUUUAUUCUUUUGUGCCCACCUUAGCAGAAAAAUAACCAUGAGAAUUUAUACCACUACAAUUCCUGUUCCCAGAAGAACUGUAGGUAAAUACUACAAGCUGCAUUUGAUUUGAUUUGAGAUCUUGUUUCUGUUGCUGAGGAACAUUUUCCCUGUGAGGAGGGCAGUCAUCAAAGCCACAAUGAUUCACGCAGCUUUACAAAGGGAAGGUUUGCCAGCUGUGUUCUCCCAAGCUGUUGCUAAGCUUGUGAAUCAGAUCUACCUUAUUUGUUCCCACAGAGCCAGGGACUUCGGCUGGAGCUGUGGCUGGAGGAGGACUGAGUGGUAAUGAGGGCUGGGUCAGGAGGGGGGAUUUCUGCUCCAGGAGAAGCCCUGAUGCUCCUCAGCUCUUUUUGUUACGAAUUGAGAUGAGAAAGUGAAAUUUGGAAGUCUCCCAUGAGAUAUGUAUUUAGAAACUAGUCAGGAAAAAGAGAAGUCUAAAUAAGACUAAAUGACGUUGAUUUGUUUCUACUCUCCUAUUGUAUAAAAUGGAAAAACAAGACAUCAGGCAGUAAGACAUGUCUGAGUACUGACACAAAUGCAAUGCAGAUUUUAUAUGUGUAGCCGUGGAAGCAAAAAGAUCAUAAUGAAAUGGAAUGCAUCAAUGCCAUUGAAAAGAAUCACUGCGGCGGUGAUGAAAGGCUGUGUUUUGACAUCCUCCUGUUGUAAAAUCUCAUUGAAAUUGACAAACUGCCGAGAAAUAUUUUGAUUUUGAAUAGACUGUACUGGAUGAGAAACUGCACUGUUGAAAAUUUUUCAGCUGGCUCCAUUGCAAACUGAGUAAACAGCUGACGAGCAGGCCAUCGGUGUUGCUGGAGACAGCAGGACAAACACAUGAGGGUCAAAUCCUGAGCAUUUCAGCAGUCACUCAGAAUACCAUUUGACUUGAGCAGGAAGCUGGACUGAAUGUGAACGACGGUGUUUGGCACAUGGUGGGUGUCCAGAUGGCCUAGUGUUAGGCACUGCCUUGUGAGGGUGGAUCCCACCCAAGUUAUUAUCAAAGAUUCUUGCAACAGCCACGGGAGAUUGGCGAGUCAGAUCGCCUUCAUUAGGAGCCAAAUUCAGGUCUGCUAAAUCACCUUCUAAAUUUCAAGCAGAUGAAAGAUGCUGCAGGAGGAAGAAGAUGACAAGAAGUGUUGCUCACUGGAUUGUGUGUACUGGAAUGCAUGCUCACAUCUUCUGCUGGAGGGGACCUCUGCCAAGGGAGAGCAUCACUUCGGAGGAACUGCUGGUUCAAAUUGCCUCCUAAUCUCUUCAAACUGGCUUUCCUGUACAGCCAUGGCACCUGGACCUCAGCAGUCUGGUAAGUCUGCAAGUCUGCACUGUUCUGUUGUCAGGUUCAGAGAAAGAUGAAACAAAAAUGCUGGAGUCCUGGGUUGCCUCGCAUCCAGUAAUUCCUUUUUAACUAGUUGGAGUAUGCACCCGAAGUGCUGAAGAACAAUAUCCACUUAAUGUGCUGUUAGAUAGAAAUGUGCGCCCUGCUUUUGAAGGUGUAAUGAUGCCCUGCUUUGUCUUGGGUGCAGGGCUCAGUGCAGUGUAGCCUGAGGAGCUGCACUGGAUGCUCUAAAACCGCACUUUGGUUGCACUGACAGUUGUGGCAAGAGAUGCAGAAUAAUGCCUGACGCCUCAAAUGGUGUGCAGGGCUAUUACAUGAUGAAUGGAUUUGUCUUGGGAAUUGGAAGUCAUGGGUGAUAGCUUUAUGGGAGCAGAAAAGACUUCUGGAUGUUUAAACAAGGAAGGACACAACUCUGGAUUUAUACAAACCAUAUUUAAUGUAAAACCCUAAUGAAGGGUAAUGCUUUGACCCCAAGGAAGGUGUGCGAUUGCAAUGAAGCUCUGGGAUGCCUUGCUUGUUGAUGGUAUGCAGAAGCUUGGCAAACUUGGACUGGGAGAUGGACAUUAUUACAUGCCAGUGUGCAACCAGACUGCUACCAUCACAGCACUCUGGCCAUCCUGAACACAUGAUACUGGUGAGGUAUUUGACCACACGCUUGUGCAAUGCCUCUAGUUCCUCCCUGCCUGCCUCCACACAAGCUGUGCUGUGAGUUUUACUUUCCUUGUUUAUUUUGGUUGUACCUGUAUGUUCUCCUGCAGAUUCAAAGCUCUGAAGAAGCUGUACUGACUGCCUGUCUUGGCAUGACUGACUGCUGCUGAGUUUGCUGGAGAAAUUAAAACUUGUCUUGCAGAAGAUGGACUCACUGGUUUUAUUAAUAUUACAAAAUAGCUAGCUUUGACAAGCAGCCAAGAGUGGAGCUAGUCCCUUUCCCAGCCACAGGUUGUCUCAUAGUGAACCCUUCUUUCACUUGGCAGUGCACAGCAAAUGUGAGAACUAUGCCUCUUCCUGCCAUGGCUCUCAUGUUACUCUCAUCUCCAUCAUGCUGUCCAACUCAGCUUAGCUGAGUGUGGAAGCUGCUUCUUCACCCAAGUCAGGUGUGCCCAGCUGAAUGAGGGAUGGGGACACCCAACAUCCUGAUGGAACAGGUCCCACAGCAAAACUCUGUGUCUAUAUAGGAGGUGCCUUGAGUCACUGAUGGCAAACAGGUCCCAUGGCAAACUGCGUGUCCAUAAUAGGAGGUGCCAUGUUGGCUGGAUGCCCCACGGUUGGUUGAUAUGACCCUUCCCCUCUCUCUGAAGGGACACAACUUGACUUUUCUACAGCUCCAGGUAGAGGAGAAGCACCACUGGCUGCAAGAUCUGGUAUCGGGGAAUACCUAACCACACCUAUACUGUGCAUGGUGGAUGUGUCAGCUUUUGUGCCCCAGCAGACCAAGGUCCUGCAGCACAUCCUGGAGUUCAGAUCUCAAACCAACCCUGCUGCCUUGCUAUCAAGCACUUCCAGAUCUGGGGUUUUGGCUCAUUCCAAGCUUGCCUCUAAGUAGAUAGUGAUGUCCUUAAAUACAGAGAGAGCUGAGAACUUAUUGGAGGAGUUAAGGCAUGCACAUCCAACGAGGGUCUGGAAAAUAGAAGGAGAAUGAAGCCUGCCUGUGAGGCUGUGCAGAUAGCCACGGCUCAGCUGUGUGCUCCAGCCACAGAGCACUAAGCCAUGACAGGAGGCUGGCGCAGGAUCAUCGCAGAUUAUUAGUGCCUCCUGCUUUAUAAGUGAAGCUCUGGGGGAGGAAAUAUGUAGUGAAGUGAAACUGGUGAUUGUACAGGCACGCCAGCGAUUAAGGUUGAAGUGGGUGGGCAGUCUGUGGGGGCUGGUGUGUUAACUCCAGCCAAGGAGAGGCACAGGCUUUCCAAUCUCUGCUAUCUCAGUUUCAGCACUGCAGACAACCCAUCGGGGUGUCAUUAACAAGCAGUUACUUCACUCUCGUUGCUGUGCUUUAAGGAAAUAUGUCAAAGGCAUUUCUGGUGAGCAAGGGCUCGGUGCGAUCAGAUUGCUCGAGCCUUCUCACAGCAUUCCAUUCAGAUUAUAAUACACAAUAGUUCAGACCCUGCUGUGUCCCAUUACUCAAUUAUGAAAUUGCUUUAGAAGUUGGGAGCUUACUGAUUGGCUCAGAAUGAUUUCAUACCCAUCAUAUUUCUGUGUGUUUGUGCUCUUGGGCCGAUUGCUCCUUCUCGUUGGUUCAAGCUGCUUCACUCUUCACUUUCAUGCAUAAGAAUGUAUUUUAUACUUUCCCUUACCACUCAGUGUGCUCAGUCUCUUCAGGUUGGAGGCAGAGGCACACACAACCUUUGAGGUCAGUUGCUGUGGGUUGGGAAUCUUAAUGUAGUUGCACAGCAGCAAGGAGAACUGGAAAGAUGUAGUGAAGUGAAUGCACAGAGCUCUUCUGCCUUGCUGUGGGCUGUUUGGGAAAGAGGGCUGGAACUGUAGAGCAGUCCAUUUAUGACAUAUCUUGCCUUCCUACUGAAUCCUCGAGUUUAGGAUCACUAAGAAUCACAACCAGUAGGUAUAAUCAGCCUAUACAAAAUUUCACUUUGUUUACAAAUUGUAUGGAAGAAGCAAGGAAAAAGUUAUAUGGACUGUUCAGGUAUGAUUUGCUUUUGUGGAUCCCCCUUUGUGGUUUGUGGGGAUUUUACACCUGUUUGAACUGACUCUGAAACCUGAAUGUGUGCCAGAACAGCCAGUUUGUUGGUAUGCCGUGCAAAAAUGGAGUGAACAAGAACAGAGACCGGGCCAUUCAACUCAUUCAUCCUUAGGACCCGUUCGUAUCCAUCCAAGGAGAGCUGAAGCAAAGUCCUGUUCUAAAUUAAAAGAAUGUUAUAUGCUCUGGUUUGGGGAGCCAAAAUAAACUCAGUCUUUGAACUUUCCUAAAACUAACUGCAAGCGAUCACUUUGGGCACCUAUUGUUAUUAGCAGUGUCGGUUUUCAGAAACAUUUUGUACCAAUCAAAGUAAAAAAAGCUGGGGCUGAUGGACUGACGGCACGUGGAGUUGCCAGGGCCUAUUAGAACGAUACCACUGACAUCUUCUAAGGCGGUGCUGAGCUUACCAAUUUCCUGCAUAGAAAAUGUCCUUGGUAUGCAAUUAAUAGUUUUCUCUCUUCUUCAUUAAUAAAGGAAUGUGACUCAGCAUCAGAGCACACUGCCUGGGAGGCUGGAUGUGUUUAGGAGCCUGUGUGCAUGGCCAAGCAACUGGAUGCCAGUGACCUGGUGCUCAAGCCUUGAUCUGCUAUUCAGAGGGGAGAGACUUCUUAAGAAAAAGCCUGAACCGUGGCAGUCCCUUAAGAGUUUCUCCUGGGCCAAAUACUGAAAUCCUCUCUAGGUUAAUUCUUCACUGGAGACAUUCAGAGAGUUGCACAAGUCAAAAUGAAAUGAAGACACUGGAUCUGUCUGGCUUGUUUUUAGGGAAUAAUUUAUUUCCCAGAAUCAGCAUUUAAGAGCAUUUUUUCCCCUUCAGUUCAGAUUAGACCACCAGCAGGUUUGUUUCACCCUCUAGGUGUUGUCAGGGAAUUACUGGAAAGCAGCACAACUUUCUAUACCUUUGAUGCUCUUAAAAUUAUAGCCCCUUUUCCCUACACAGAGAUGUAGCUAGAAGGUCUGUGAAAGGUUUUAGCUCAUGUUUCCAAGAAAGAACCACUGAUUUUCUGAUGAGUUAAGGCUUUGGCAACAGCAAUGGGAUUCUCUCACCUGCCAGCAGAUAAAAAUCACUGUAAAUGUUCACCAUUCUGGGCUAAACUAUCUAGCCAGUUGAAAAGCUAGUAUUGUGCCAUCUGAAUUUUACCCUUUCAGGAUUUCCAUUGAACAGGGUUGUUCUGACAGUCUGCCAUCCCACUAGCACAGAGAUGUGCUUAUCUUGCAAAGUUAUUUCACUUAUAUUAACUCAUUGUGUUUACUUAUUUAAAUAUUCUCUGCAGAUGAGACAUAUGGCAAACGCUGGCCAACUUAGUCUCAGCUGCUUCUCAGAUCCAGAUGCUAAUAUCAUUUCAUAACUUGGCUUGUGCAGUUCAGAUCUGUACCAAAAGAUUCUGUUUUGAAUUACCAUUAUAUUUGAUAUUAAUACUAAGCAUACUCACAGCUGUCCUACAUUGCUAUUUCCACCCUCCCUGGGAUUCGGAUCUCAGACAGAGAACAUAACACUCUUCCAUGUCUGCCUCUCAGGCUUUUAGAUCUAUCCUGGGCUCAUAGUGUACUGUCUGCAGCAAAGAGUAUGCCCUAAUUACCUCUGCAUUGUAUGUACCUUAGGGUCUUUCUGGGAUCAGGUCUAACCUGGGUGGUUUUUCCAGCACCAUAAUAGUGACCUUUAAUAGGGCAGUCCAGAAAAGACUGAUGUGGGGAUUGUUGAGUCUCUGAGGGCAUUUGGGACUGGAUUUCUGAAGUGUUUAGUCACCUGAAGAUGGGGAAUAGUAUCUAAUGGGAUUUUCCAAACCACAAUGGGCUCAGAUCCUCAGUGUUAUUAAAUGCCUUUGUCUCAAUGAAGCCGAUGAGAGUGAAGCAGCCAAGCAUGCCGAGGGUGUGGAUGCCUAUGCCCUGUACUCUUGGACAACAUCUGCACUGUCUGUAAGAGCAUCAGCACCUUUAUGAGUCUGGAGAAGCCAGCCCAGCCCCAGAAGCUGAGCACAGAACUUCCUUGAGCUGUGGAGGUUGUGCUCACACCUUGCCUUCAGUCUGGAAGAUGCACAGAAGUGAAACGUUCCCAACUCAGAGCCUGUGUCGCUAUGGAGAGGAGAAAGAUCAAACAACCCAAUUCCUUGAGCCUUCUGAGUGUGGCUGAGCAACACCUUUGUGUCCGUGGCCAGAGGUCCCACAGCACUUGGCUUUCCAGCAGCAGCUCCAUACAGUCAUCACACAAAGAGUCGGGGAAAGGAGGACCUGUCUGGAUAAUAAGCCAUCAUUUCGUCCCAUGCUUAAAAGAAGCUCUCUGUGCUUUGAACAGGCCAAAUAACAUUUUCCCCCAUAAUUUUUUAACUUUGGGCACCUUUGCAAAUUACUCUCCUGGCUGGGAAGGAGCCCAGGAGUGCCAGAACACCAUGGGAAGAGGCUGCUCUGUGAUACUGCCAACCUGCGAAGGAGGAGGAAAUGCUGGAAAUCCCCUAAGCACGCCUGUUUUCUUGAGAUUCCCAACUCGAUUUUGCAAACUCAGAAGAUUUUAUAUAAUUUGGUUUAGUCGGUUCAGAGGUUUAAGGCACUUGGCUGUGCAUCUGGAUUGCAUCUUUGGGGUGGGUUAUCCAAAAAAGUACUCAGAACAGUAUGAAAUUCAUCCUUCGCUAGCAAAACUGAAGGAAAACAAGAGCACGGGAAGGGAGUUUCUCCUCUCUGCUUGCUGUGCUGGACACUGGGUGUGAACCUGUGAUCCAUGCCUGUGCCACUAGACGCUGUGCCUUGUGCCAGCAGAUGGGACAUCAGCCCACUGACCACCUGUCUUCAGAGCAAGAAAAAAAGGAACAGAGAGAAUUUAAAAAUAAAUCUCUCCUCUGAUGUGCAAGCACAGCAAGCACAGCGAUGACACACAAGCUACAGAGCUUUGUUCAGGCUUCCCUGUCUGACAGAGCGGGCCUUAAAAACCCCUUACAUGGAAUGAUUCAGGUUGAAAAGUGCAAGUCAAUCUGAAAUAGAAACAAAGAAACAGAAACAGUGUUAAGAGCCCUUUGAUUUUGUCACUGUAGAAACCAAGGGGUCGCGCAGUGAUGCAACAGUGUCCAUGGAAGCCUAGAGCCCAUCUGCAGGUGGUGCUAACACAGAGCUGUCCCACAGCACUGGCAACUGGCAGCCACCAGCACCUCCGGGAUGGGCUGGGCUGGGCUCUGCCUGCGGGCAGCUGCUUUAGGUGGUGGGUGAAAAGAGUCCUCUGUCUUGAUGGGCCAACUCUUCCCUUUAGAUGUCUGUGCUCACCUCCCAUUAACUUUGGUAUGAGCUGAGCUCAUGCUUCCAAGAGUGAAAUUUGGCUUAUGAUUUCUGCAUGCUUCGGGAUCCCUUGGGUACCAUAUAAAUGUAACAUACUGUGAUUCAGUGCUAAAGAGCAGAGAAAAUGCAACCUCCCAGGAGACACAGUGAGAGAAAAUCAUAUAGAGCCUUUGUUUAACAAAAUAAGGAAAGAUCAAGAAAAACAAUUGAGAUUCAUUCCAAAGCUGAGUUCAUUGCACAGCAAGGAUGGAACUCACAUCCCUUACCCAGUGAUAGCUUCUUUGACAUGGAUGAGUUAGGGCCCAUUGGACCAGGCCCCAGUUUUGAAGGCAUUAUUGAAAAUGUCUUACCUCCUAUAUUUCCUGUUUUUUAAUCAAACUCACUGUGCUGCCAGAGGUGUUUCAUUUACCAGGAGAGGGGUCAGCGAGGCAGCCACGAGCAACAGGAAAUAAAGCACCGUGCAGCCCCUCCCUGCCUGGACGAGGGCUGGGGACGGCAGUGCUGAGCUCGGUGCUGUCUGCCUGCCCCAUGGCAUCCUGCAGCCAACAUGGGCACUGAGGGACUGCCUGCUGGCUCUGCCACGCAGCCCCACACCAAUGGAAACAGCAAAUGGUACAUACAUCCUAGAAUUCUAUUUUCUAUCUACUGCCAUAGUUUCUUGGCUUGUUGCAACUGUCAUAAAAUUACUUUAGUAUAUUUUCCCAUCUGUCAUGUUUUUGCUUCUUUAGAGGGGGAUGUUGCGUGAUGUUUGUAUCUAAUUUAGCUUUAAACUUGUUGUCUGGCUGUUGUUCAUGGAAAAUGAAUGUUGCAUUUGCAGAAUAACCUGUGGCUUUCCUGUAGCACCAGAGAGAACGUUUGCAGGCAGCAAACAUGGCUGCAACCAGAUGGACAGGACUGCUCAUUCCCUCCUGCCCCAGAUCCUCUGCUUUGAAUUGUGGCCUUGGCCAUGGCCAGAGGAGCUCUAAUUACUUGUUAAUUUAGCUGUCCUCCUGCAUUGCCCAGCCAAGGGCUCUCCAUCAUCACUUUCACCACUGCUGAAGCCAUUCAUUCAAUCUUAACUUUAACAACCUAAGUCUUAGAAUAAUUGGUUCUUCAACGAAAAGCACAGAGAACAAUAACCAGGAGCACCUGCUCUGCCCACCUUGCUUGUUUUCCUUUCUUCUCUUUGCAUCCAGUCUGACUGCUGGUUCUCAUGGUCUGCCUGAGCUGGAGAGUAAUCCCAUCCACUCCCCUGCUCAUGUUGUUGUUUGUUUAUUUGUUUCCCCCUAUAUUUUUUACUGCUAGUGUAUAUUAAAGAUUUUGUUUUGCUAAAUUGUUGAGGCUGUUAGAUGAAAUCCAGCCUUUAAUCUAUGUGGUUUGGUAGUACCAAAGGACUUCUGAACACACAAAAUCCUGUUUGAAGAAGAAAAAAGUGAAGUCUGAGAAUCCUAUUUGUGAACCUUCAGAGAAUCUCUCCUUCCUGCCCCGAGUGUAUUACACUGUACUUCUCAAACACAGUUUUAUCUCCAAGAGAGGAAGCAAUAACUGUUCUUAUCAGUGGACCAGAACCUACAUCAUGCACACAGCAUGAGGCGAAGAAAUCCCAUGCACCUGCAAAUGGCCACAGCUUCAGCACAAACAGAAGCAGAGAGAGCAGCUGUGUAGGGAGUUGAGUCAAGGACUUUGAGCAAGUGUGUGUGCUGUCUACCAGGGUUUUGUGAACAGCAAGGAAGCUGGAGUGUGACUUUGAAAUGCAAUUGUAACAUUUACAGGCAUCAUAGGCAAUCAGUUGUUUUUCGAUUGUGGUUGUCUAACUGGAAAGUAUGGAUGAAGUUUCAGCCUCUACAUCUGUCCAACUGUUUGACACCAACAGUUUCAGAACCGUUUCAUAAUUGUAUAAAAUGAUAGUUCCUAUCUGCAGAUUGUAGUAAAAUUGGUAAAAGAAAAAUCCAAGGCAGGAUGUGAAACUAAUGCCUGAUUAGAGCAGUGCAAUGUCGCUUCUGUGGCUGCUCUCUUGGCUUCCACCUCUGUACCAGCAGUGCUGCACUUCUAGUGGAUGCUGUCCUCCAGGAUUAAGAAGGAAUAAAGAGAAUCAGAUGCAGAAUCAUUGCCUGUGCUGGAAUUCAGCUGAUGAAGACCUCAAAAUGAACUGGCAAGGAGGUUGCAUUUGAACUCUGCAGCCCCUAUGUUCAGUUCUUUAUUAACUUUUUCAAUGUGUUCUAUUACGGUCACAAUAUGGGAGCUAUCUUGCAGCUAAUUUAACACCUGUAAAUUCCCAUGGCUGGUAAUGAAACAUUGCAUAGACUAGUGGAUGAAGCAUUUGCUUCAUAUAUCAAAGGUCAUUAGUUCAGUACUUGUUAAUGCUGUAGCUUUUAUUAAAAUUUCUUUUAGUUUUGGUUUUCUUUUUGCAUCAGCCCCUUGCAGGCUGAUUAAUUCUUCUCCUUCCCAAAGCUAAACACAAAACAAGAGCAUCUAAUCCAGAGAACCGGGGCUAAAUUCUGAGCUGAAGUCUUGAAUUAUGCUGCCUGAAGUUAUCCCUUCAAAACCUCCCCAGCUGCCAUGAGGGUGGCAGUGUGACAGCAGGAGACACGUCAUCGUGGCCAGGUCACAGUGACACAAGUGACAUGAGUGACACUGCGGCUGGCACCUUCUAUCCCUUCUGCCCAGCCUGAGCUGUAUCAUCACUGCUCUGGCUGAGAAGAGCAGAGGCAGCGAGCUCCAGCCCUGCAGCUGGUGUUGCUGGAUGUUUUCUAUCCAACCUGACCCUUUCUCAACCCUGACAUGGGUUGGGUUCACCACAGUAGCCAACUUUUCAAAACACAACCAGCACAAAGCAACAUUAUAAUGAAAGUAAGCAGCUUCUGGAGAUGAAAUCACAUGAGCCGUGCAUCCAAAUGCGAUGCUGCAGCUUCUGGGAAACGCUGAGCAUGCGCUUCUUCACCUUGCAAGCUCUUGGCAUGCGAGCUGUUUAUCAAAAUAACAACUCAUUGAAAUACAGCCCAAAGGACUGCCAGGAAGGUUGAAUGAAGCACUGUUGUUUCCAGCACACCAUGGUCUCCAUUGGUUUCUCCAGGAGAGGGAAGUGCGUGGGCUCCAGGAACGCACCCCAUGCCCAAAGCCCACUUGGUUCUGCCUGCACACAGAGCUGCCAUAGGACUGCACUUCAUCCAGUCCUGGACAUUGCUUUGUUAGCAAAGUGCCACCUGCCAGGAGUCCAAUCCUGGGGCAUCAUUCUAGUCAUCCAGGGGGAAAAGAAAUGUACUCCUGACACCAUUAAUUUGAUCUCUAAAUUAGCUAUGCUUUUUAUUAACAACUUUAUGCUGCAGGAUGUCACAAGCUAUUUGGUUGUUGGUAAGACACACAUGCUGAUUUAUAUUCAUAUCCGUGCCUGCCUUAUAGCUGGCUCUGUGACGCUACUCAUUAAUUCAGGAUUGAAAUGUCUUUCUCACUCUGUGACAUUUGGGAGCCUGAUAUAUUUUACAAAGCUUAUUAAAACUCAGGUUUGUACUUCAUCUCUCAGUGUGCAGUCCCAUCCCUGCUUGUCUGUUCCACUGGAGAAUCUUGCUCAGUUUGCAGAGUGAGACAAACAAACCCCGAGGCACACAUCUAUUUUAGACAAUGGAAGAAAUAAUUGUUAGAAUGUCAGAGGGGUUCCAGAAUUAGCAGCAGCUUCUGUCUGAAUUCUGAAUAGUAUUAUUUGCAGUGGCUUAUCUGCAUGGGUAACAUCAAGCAAUUCUUCUAUUCUCAAACAACCAGCACCAUUCAGAACCAUGCUGCUUUCAGAUCAGCAGCAGUGAAGCCCAUUUGGCUCAUGUUUUAGUGACGGAGCCAUUAAACCCAUGGCCUGGAAGCAUGCUCAUGUGCUCAGAAGAGCCAGGAUAGCUGCAAGCAGCAGCCAGCACAGACCACAUCCCCUGGCACUUGGGUUCAGCCUCGUCUGCUCCAGCCCUUUGCAUGGCUGCGAUGGGAGAUGCUGCUGGGCAUCUGGUUAGCACUGUGCAGUCAGCUGGAAGAUCUAAAUGACCUUAAUAUAAAAUAUAAUGGCAGUAAUUAGCCAACAGGGCAGAGGACAGCUUAGCUCCUCUGUGGGUCCUGGGGCCCAGUAAGGCCACUUUGGCACCCCAGCACCCAUGCCUUGGCCACCACCACACCAGGAUCAGCAAACAGGCUGUGGAUCCUUUCAAUGAGCUCACUCUGGUUUUGUGGCAAUGUGACAUCACAGCCCCAAAGCCACAGAGGAUGGCACUGCCACACCUGUGGGCACAGCCAGGCUGCCCUGCAUGGCUCAGCUGCUGCUUCCCCACCAAAACCCCAAUUUGACGACGUUGGACUGCACUUCUCAAACCUCCCUGCUCCUCCUCAGACACGCAGAGCUUGCAAGCUAAACGCCAAGCUUUUUCCACAGCUUAUGUUCUUGUAAAAACAGCUCCAAGUUCACACAUUCUGCUCCUCACUCCAGUCGGGACUCUGCAUGCCAAGCCCAGUAUUUAUUUUCAUUACUUUUGAGACCACCAAAAUUAAUGUAUCUUUCAGACAGGAAGAAUUUUAUUUAUUAUGGUGGAUUUAAAUCCAAGAGAUGAAAGAAAAUCAGCGCACAUCCUGAAGGUGAGCAGGGCUGGGAGCUGAUCCCCAACUUACCCUGUAGCACAUGGCCUACCCCUACACCAGCACUACUCUGGUUUGGCUGCUGUGGCACCAAGAGGCACAGGGUUAACAAAUUCCCUUGAAUGAUGGGAGGAUGCUGUUGGGAAGAUAAAACCAAUUGUAUUUUCCCCUUUACUACACAUCAGUGCCUGUCCCACUGGAGCAUGCCCAGGCCUUGCAAAGUCUAUGAUGGGACAGCCACCAGAUGAAGUAUCUGAUUAAACAUGCUGCUAAAACAGAGACACGCCUGGCUUGCACAGCAGUCUGCAGGCUCACCUUUCUGCGGAGCUCAGUUUAAGCUCAUGCCAUCACGUGAGAAAGAUCAGCUGUGUCCUUGGAAACGCAGGCCCUGCAGUGGUUGGGAUUUUCCUCACAUUUCUUAAUUCUCUUGCUCUGGAUCCCAUCACAACCCUGUUUUGAAAGGGCAGAAAUGAAACUUUAGUUCAUUGAAGAAAAAAAAAAAA
Non-coding RNA from Coturnix japonica (Japanese quail), 12487 nucleotides. The record is from RefSeq and is a predicted model, not a curated record. NCBI's taxonomy places the organism in Eukaryota, Metazoa, Chordata, Aves, Galliformes, Phasianidae.